Molecule: small nucleolar RNA, 86 nt
Organism: Zingiber officinale
Lineage: Eukaryota; Viridiplantae; Streptophyta; Magnoliopsida; Zingiberales; Zingiberaceae
Product: small nucleolar RNA SNORD24
Exons: 1
Source: RefSeq, a predicted model, not a curated record
AGCCUUUGAAGUAAUAACAUUAUUUGCUAUUCUUGAUGGGAUAAACCCCUAUGUGAUGAUCCUUAUCCACCAAGAUCUCUGAGGCU